Long non-coding RNA from Oxyura jamaicensis (ruddy duck), 1390 nucleotides. RefSeq lists it as uncharacterized. The record is from RefSeq and is a predicted model, not a curated record. The transcript is spliced from 4 exons. NCBI's taxonomy places the organism in Eukaryota, Metazoa, Chordata, Aves, Anseriformes, Anatidae.
UUGAAAAUAAGGAAAAGAAAAAAAAAAAAAAAAGGAGGAAGAAAAAAAAAAAGAAAGUCAUAAGAAACGUGGAAAAAAAAUAUAAUACAGAGUUGGAGGUGAAUCCAAACACUCAGGUAAUUUGCCUUGAGGAGCAAGAACCCUUGAGACCUAUGUAUAGACUUCGGAAAAAAAGAAUCUGUGAACAAUAGUAAAGGCCAUGAACGUGCCGUCCUCUGACAGGCCUGGAUUACCAACUUUCCUCAGAGCUUGAAGGAACAGGACACUUCUGAAGUCUCAAGGCAAUGUAAUUAAUCAGCUAUAUGGAGAGAUAGAGUCCAGUUAAACGAUCAGCCACUACUGGCGAUCUGCAGUGGAGCCAUGCUGAUCCCGCAGUAUGUGAGGCAGAACUCCCUGUAUGAGCCAUUAAAAGAAGUCAGAUCCUGCUGAGGAGGAGAGGUUGUGUCCUGACUUGAAAAUUAAAGGUCAAAAAGUCCCACAGCAUAUCUGUGCUUUACACCAAGAGGAAAAUGAACUGCAUGGACAGAGGAUGUUGUCUUGGGUCACCAUCAAGAACAUGACCUGCCUAACUGAUGUGACACAGGGAAAGAGAUUGUGCUCCUGGCAUCUCAGAAUUAAGGAAGAGAAACAGCUUCCAGGAUAAUGUAAAAGGAUUCUGCCCCAACUGGUGCAGGCAGAGAAAUUUCGUAAAAAUUGAAAACCCAAGGAGCACACCCCAGAGCCUAAAAGCCCCACCUUUAGGAACUCCUUUAAUCCCACGGCUUUGGAGAGGACUUGGUGGCUCAUGAAGAUCCCACCUCAGGGCCAAAAGAAAUCUAGGCUGGAGGAGGUGUUACAGCGAUGGCAAAAUGCUCUGCAGGACAGUCACAUACCCAGCUAGAGAGGACUGCAAGAAGAGCAGACCAUCCCCAAGUGUUCCUAUCCAUGGUAUGCUCUGUAGAUCUCCUGGGAUCUAUUAUUUCCUGGUUAAACAAGUACCUCCAUUGUUUUAAGCAGCUCAGCUUGUUUUUAAGCUGGUCCCUCACAAACUCGGCCCAAGUUCACCUGAACAAUCCUGGUUUUUAGCCUGUAGGGGCAAAGCAGCUUAAGAUUUACUGGAUAGCGAUGGCGAGCCUAAUGUAAUAAAAGUCUGACCCUUCUGAUGUGUAUGGGCUACUGUAUUAUAAAUAUUUAAUAAGUUAUAUGGAAAGAAAAGAACUAUAGGGGUUACAGAAAUCAUAUUAAAGCAACUAAGUAAAUACAAAGAAGGUUAAAGUGUCUAACUCUAUAUGGUUUAAAGGCUAAAGCAAACCAGAUCUCUUUCUAGAUACUUUUUCCAUGUACAGCAGUAACUGGGCUGCAUAAAAAUAAGGCAAGUAUUUAAAGACAGGAAAAAAAAAAAAAAAAAAAA